This 443-nucleotide ribosomal RNA is filed under the name uncultured bacterium. RNAcentral describes it as "bacterial SSU rRNA". It matches the Rfam family "Bacterial small subunit ribosomal RNA", at positions 8 to 493 of the family's 1533-position model. The record is from RNAcentral.
AGAGUUUGAUCCUGGCUCAGAGCGAACGCUGGCGGCAGGCCUAACACAUGCAAGUCGAGCGCCGUAGCAAUACGGAGCGGCAGACGGGAGAGUAACACGUGGGAACGUGCCCUUCAGUUCGGAACAACCCAGGGAAAACUUGGGCUAAUACCGGAUACGUCCGAAAGGAGAAAGAUUUAUCGCUGAAGGAUCGGCCCGCGUUCUGAUUAGCUAGUUGGUGAGGUAACGGCUCACCAAGGCGACGAAUCAGUAGCUGGUCUGAGAGGAUGAUCAGCCUCACUGGGACUGAGACACGGCCCAGAACUCCUACGGGAGGCAGCAGUGGGGAAUAUUGGACAAUGGGCGCAAGCCUGAUCCAGCCAUGCCGCGUGGAUGAUGAAGGCCCUAGGGUUGUAAAGUCCUUUCGGCGGGGAAGAUAAUGACGGUACCCGCAGAAGAAGCCC